Long non-coding RNA from Poecile atricapillus (Black-capped chickadee), 304 nucleotides. RefSeq lists it as uncharacterized. NCBI's taxonomy places the organism in Eukaryota, Metazoa, Chordata, Aves, Passeriformes, Paridae. The record is from RefSeq and is a predicted model, not a curated record. The transcript is spliced from 3 exons.
CCACUGACCCCUCCCCGUUCCCCGCAGGUUCUGGGGGGCUCUCGGGGGGUCCCUGGCCCUGCUGGGUUUGGAGUUCCUGGGGCUCCUCUCGGGGUCUCCACCUUCCACCCGGGCCAGAGCCUGGGCUCGCUGGGGUCUCACGGGGGGGCCGCGCUCGGUCUCACCCUGGGUUGGCUCCAGGCCUGGGACGGCCCCGCCCUUUGGGCCGCGCUCGCGCUCAGUGUCCCCCCGGCCGUGACGGAGCUGCUGCUGCUGGGGCGGGUCCUGCUCUGCCAAAGGGGGGCGCUCUGAGACCCCCCCCGGG